This 253-nucleotide ribosomal RNA is filed under the name uncultured bacterium. RNAcentral's name for it is "partial 16S ribosomal RNA". It matches the Rfam family "Bacterial small subunit ribosomal RNA", at positions 524 to 776 of the family's 1533-position model. The record is from RNAcentral.
UACGGAGGGUGCGAGCGUUGUUCGGAAUCACUGGGCGUAAAGCGCGUGUAGGCGGUUCUGUAAGUCUGGUGUGAAAGCCCGGGGCUUACCCCCGGAAGUGCACUGGAGACUGCAAGACUAGAGUACCGGAGAGGAAAGUGGAAUUCCUGGUGUAGCGGUGAAAUGCGUAGAUAUCAGGAGGAACAUCGGUGGCGAAGGCGGCUUUCUGGACGGAUACUGACGCUGAGACGCGAAAGCGUGGGGAGCAAACAGG